This is a long non-coding RNA of Oncorhynchus gorbuscha (pink salmon), 1040 nucleotides long. RefSeq lists it as uncharacterized. The record is from RefSeq and is a predicted model, not a curated record. The transcript is spliced from 3 exons. Lineage: Eukaryota; Metazoa; Chordata; Actinopteri; Salmoniformes; Salmonidae.
AAGUGAGAGCAGUGAAGAAGAAAGAGAAGAAUUCUCCAGAAAACGCUGUGUCUUGCUACAGCCGAGAGAAGCUUAGACCAAACACAGACUCUAUAGGGACACUGAUUGUUUUUUUUUGCUCAGAUUGUAGAACUUGAAGCCUAUCAUGAUAGAAGUGGUCCUGACUAGACUGGGAGAUUUCUCCUCUAAGGACGCCACCUUUGAUGCCUGUAAGUCAGCCGGGCUCGUUGUGUCCAGGGACCCACGGACCACCAGAGACCCCUGCCUGGAGGAAGACCUCCAGAUGGAGGGCUGCAUUCCCGGAGAAGAGGGCAGCUGACCCUACAAACUGGACAUUGAGAGUGCACUGGCCUGGCUGCACAGGGAACUGAUGAUCAUGGAAAAUGGAUUGCGAUUAUUCAGCACAUUUACUAUGGAGAUGCAAUCUCAGGACCAGGCCUUGAUUACAACAGCUGAUGGACCGCCAAGAAGAAGAGGAGGAGAAGGAGGAGUAGGAAGAAAAGGAAAAGGAGGAUGAGGAGACAGAGGAAGAUAGGAGCUGGGACUUUGAGAACGAGGCAGGGGGCAGUGGUAGUAGUGUUUACUCCAGCUCAGGGGAAGUGGGUUUUUCCAUAUCCUGCCUGUCCACUAGAAUGACACCAUCUCUACCAAAAAUUUACUUUCAGCAGAAGAAGCUCUGUGCCUUAAUAAAACUACAAAAAGUAUUAUCUUAUGGACUGACCACAUAGUCAAUGUUAAUUGGACAAAAUCGUUUUCUUUGUAUCUUUUAGUUGUCACACGCAUAGGUUAUUUGAGGAUGUUGAAAUGUUGAAGAUGAAAUGGUGCUGGAAUAGUGAAGGCAGUUCCUGUUUUAUUUGCGACUUGCAUUAACUCUCUGUGGUUCUAAAUCAAUAUGUUUAGUGGUUCGAAAAUGUUGGAAACUUGCUUGACCAUGCUGUAGGUUAUGAAACUUUCUUGACCAUGCUGUAGGUUAUGAAACUUGCUUGACCAUGCUGUAGGUUAUGAAACUUUCUUGACCAUGCUGUAGGUUAUGAAACUUG